This 200-nucleotide microRNA precursor is filed under the name Oryza brachyantha (malo sina). RNAcentral's name for it is "MIR812 microRNA precursor family". It matches the Rfam family "MIR812 microRNA precursor family". Lineage: Eukaryota; Viridiplantae; Streptophyta; Magnoliopsida; Poales; Poaceae. The record is from Rfam by way of RNAcentral.
AAUAACUUUAUUUUCCGUGUCCAACACUUUAUCAUUCGUCUUAUUUAAAAAAUUUGUACAAAAAAUUAAAAAAAUUAGUCACAUAUAAAGUACUAUUCAUAUUUUAUCAUCUAGUAAUAAUAAAAAUAUUAAUCACAAAAAAAUUCAAAUAAGACGAAUGAUCAAACGUUGAACACGGAAAAACGAAAAAUGAGGUUAUU